Molecule: transfer RNA, 56 nt
Filed under: Klebsiella pneumoniae
Lineage: Bacteria; Pseudomonadati; Pseudomonadota; Gammaproteobacteria; Enterobacterales; Enterobacteriaceae
Also listed under: 2 other names
Description: tRNA-Gly
Rfam family: tRNA
About the family: Transfer RNA (tRNA) molecules are approximately 80 nucleotides in length.
Source: RNAcentral
AGUUCAAUGGUAGAACGAGAGCUUCCCAAGCUCUAUACGAGGGUUCGAUUCCCUUC